Molecule: long non-coding RNA, 1347 nt
Organism: Chenopodium quinoa (quinoa)
Lineage: Eukaryota; Viridiplantae; Streptophyta; Magnoliopsida; Caryophyllales; Amaranthaceae
Exons: 2
Source: RefSeq, a predicted model, not a curated record
AUAUAGAUAUAUAUAGAGGAUUAUGUACUAACUAUAUAUAUAGAGAGAGAGAGUCAUGUGCGAACUAGCUCGAAUAAUACGAACUAAGAACUCAUAUGAGCCGUCCACCGCGUUAGAUCUGACGGCCUACACUUUACCCACCUCAUUAAGGGUAUUUUUGUAAUUUCAUCGGUUGAAUGACCUCCCUUCCAAUUCAUGCGCCGCUUAUUUCCUUUCUCUCUCUUCUUCCGCAUUUUCUCUCUCUAUGUUCGAAUUUGCUCAAAGGCGAUUUUUCGCGAUUACAAUUCUUUGCUUGUGCUAAUUAAUUAUUCAGAUUCUUCGAUUUCGAUCUUCUAGUACUUCGUAUUCGUCAAUUUUUGUUAUUCAUUGAGGACUAUGAGAGUGCAUCAAGAACUAGUAUCUGACCCUGCAUUGUGGCUACAAAUAUCAUAAAGUCGCUCCAUGAUUUUUCACAGUAUGCUGCUAAAGUUUUUGGGCCUAUUGAGGUUACAAGUGCUGGUAACUCUGGGUUUGGCGUCUUCCUGCUAUCGGGGCUAUAAAAAUCAAUUCUGAUGCCCACUUGGUUGUUGAAAACCAGGUGGGGUUGGGUGCAGUUCUUAGGAAUGACUCUAGGUAUAUUGUUGCUGUUACUGUAAAGUGCUUGAGGGCAAGGUGGAGUGUGGAGCAUGCUUUAAUUGUCAUGAGGACUAUUAACAUUGUAGAUGUAGGAUAUUCAACUUUGAUACUCUUCUAUGAGGAUGUAAAGAGUCUGAAAUCUUUAUUUACUUUGAGUAUUUUUUUUAUUCACUUUUCUUUUAUUUUUAAUCACUUUAGAAAGACUAAAAAAAUAGAGUGUUUUCAUCCAAGACCCUGACCCUGACCUUGUAAUACUCCUAACAAGCCAAAACAAAAUGAAGUUACCGUAAUUAUAAGAAUUAUGUAUUCAGUAGGUAUUUGGUCAGUAUUAAAGCCAAGAAACAGCACAAAAGAAGAUGGCCCCAACAAUGCAAGGAUUUGCACAGAAUUCAAGCAGACUCCAAAGUGGGAUGGAGGACGCCGUGAUCAAUGUAAUCAACCCAGAUUGUGUACCUAUUUAUUAGGAGUUAGUAACCUAGUUUGUAGUUUGUGAUAGGUGGUUUGCUUCGGUCCCAUCAUCUACACAACCGAAUAGGCUGUACGUGUUAACAAGUAAUGAUACAGGGAAGCUCAUUGCAGGGUUGCCUCGGAAGACCAUAUUCGUGUUUUUUCACAUGUUUACUUUCAAUGAGAUACAUUAUUAGUUUAAUAAGUAUAUUUCCAAUGUAUGUGUUUAUAAUGUUGGCUCUUUGGCAUUGAUCAAAUGGCAUCAGUAGUAGCAUUAUGUGUUCA